Molecule: non-coding RNA, 260 nt
Organism: Poecilia reticulata (guppy)
Lineage: Eukaryota; Metazoa; Chordata; Actinopteri; Cyprinodontiformes; Poeciliidae
Source: RefSeq, a predicted model, not a curated record
AGAAGACCCCAUAAAACGUGUGAGGUUCUACAAAAAGCAAAACCCAGAUGAGGCCGGGCCUAUCGACAAAGCUGAGGUAUCUCUACUUCUUCCAGAGCACUUUGAAGAGAAGAAGUGUAGAAUUUACACAAAGAGAACAAAUAAAGAGGAUCUGGAGGCUGACAGAGAGCUCUUUAACACAUUUGACCCUGCAAAACCACGUCAAGCCUGAGGUAUUUCUGUAGGCUGUAAUCAGGGGUGCUGCCAGGAAUCUUGGGCCC